This 253-nucleotide ribosomal RNA is filed under the name uncultured bacterium. Its description in RNAcentral is "partial 16S ribosomal RNA". It matches the Rfam family "Bacterial small subunit ribosomal RNA", at positions 524 to 776 of the family's 1533-position model. The record is from RNAcentral.
UACGGAGGUGGCAAGCGUUACUCGGAAUUAUUGGGUGUAAAGGGCAAGUAGGCGGCUUGGUAAGUAGGGGGUGAAAUACUUCGGCUCAAUCGGAGAACAGCCUUCUAAACUGCCAGGCUUGAGUGUGACAGAGGAAAAGGGAAUUCUCGGUGUAAGGGUGAAAUCUGUAGAUAUCGAGAAGAACACCAGCGGCGAAGGCGCUUUUCUGGGUCACUACUGACGCUAAAUUGCGAAAGCUAGGGGAGCAAACAGA